GAUGAACGCUGGCGGCGUGCCUAAUACAUGCAAGUCGAGCGAACAGAUGAGGAGCUUGCUCCUCUGACGUUAGCGGCGGACGGGUGAGUAACACGUGGAUAACCUACCUAUAAGACUGGGAUAACUUCGGGAAACCGGAGCUAAUACCGGAUAAUAUCUUGAACCGCAUGGUUCAAUAGUGAAAGACGGCUUUGCUGUCACUUAUAGCUGGAUCCGCGCCGCAUUAGCUAGUUGGUAAGGUAACGGCUUAUCAAGGCAACGAUGCGUAGCCGACCUGAGAGGGUGAUCGGCCACACUGGAACUGAGACACGGUCCAGACUCCUACGGGAGGCAGCAGUAGGGAAUCUUCCGCAAUGGGCGGAAGCCUGACGGAGCAACGCCGCGUGAGUGAUGAAGGUCUUCGGAUCGUAAAACUCUGUUAUUAGGGAAGAACAAAUGUGUAAGUAACUAUGCACGUCUUGACGGUACCUAAUCAGAAAGCCACGGCUAACUACGUG
Molecule: ribosomal RNA, 497 nt
Filed under: uncultured bacterium
Lineage: Bacteria
Description: partial 16S ribosomal RNA
Rfam family: Bacterial small subunit ribosomal RNA
Source: RNAcentral